Molecule: ribosomal RNA, 793 nt
Filed under: uncultured bacterium
Lineage: Bacteria
Description: bacterial SSU rRNA
Rfam family: Bacterial small subunit ribosomal RNA
Source: RNAcentral
AGAGUUUGAUCCUGGCUCAGGAUGAACGCUAGCGGCAGGCCUAACACAUGCAAGUCGAGGGGCAGCACGGGUAGCAAUACUUGGUGGCGACCGGCGCACGGGUGAGUAACGCGUAUGCAACCUACCCUUAACUGGGGAAUAGCCCGAAGAAAUUCGGAUUAAUGUCCCAUAAUAUAAUUUUAUCGCAUGAUAGGAUUAUAAAAGCUCCGGCGGUUAAGGAUGGGCAUGCGUGACAUUAGCUAGUUGGUGAGGUAACGGCUCACCAAGGCGACGAUGUCUAGGGGGCCUGAGAGGGUAGUCCCCCACACUGGUACUGAGACACGGACCAGACUCCUACGGGAGGCAGCAGUGAGGAAUAUUGCGCAAUGGAGGCAACUCUGACGCAGCCAUGCCGCGUGCAGGAAGACGGUCCUAUGGAUUGUAAACUGCUUUUAUACGGGAAUAAUUCCUGGUACGUGUACCGGGUUGAAUGUACCGUAAGAAUAAGCAUCGGCUAACUCCGUGCCAGCAGCCGCGGUAAUACGGAGGAUGCAAGCGUUAUCCGGAUUUAUUGGGUUUAAAGGGUGCGUAGGCGGAAUUGUAAGUCAGUGGUGAAAUCUUGCAGCUUAACUGUAAAAUAGCCAUUGAUACUGCAGUUCUUGAGUACAGUUGAGGUAGGCGGAAUGUGUAAUGUAGCGGUGAAAUGCUUAGAUAUUACACAGAACACCAAUUGCGUAGGCAGCUUACUAAGUUGUAACUGACGCUGAUGCACGAAAGCGUGGGGAUCGAACAGGAUUAGAUACCCUGGUAGUCC